This is a long non-coding RNA of Terrapene triunguis (Three-toed box turtle), 851 nucleotides long. RefSeq lists it as uncharacterized. The transcript has 3 exons. The record is from RefSeq and is a predicted model, not a curated record. NCBI's taxonomy places the organism in Eukaryota, Metazoa, Chordata, Testudines, Emydidae.
GUCGGUCCAAUAAAAGAUAUCACCUCACCCAGCUUGCCUCUCUCAUAUCCUGGGACCUAACAUGGCUUCAGCAACACUGUAAAGGUUGCUGAACAACCCUCCCUCCCUCUCGGUUAAUGUCUGGAGAUGGAGAACUUCAACUUAUAAACCCAACAUAUGCAAGAUUUAUGACCCUCUUUGUCCCUGUGUUCCAGAGCCAAGUUGAUCAGCUAUGUACAGUCUCGAACCUGGGUCUGCAGGAGCAGCCAGGCUCCGACCCUCUACCUGGCAGCUUACUGACAGCUGCUUACCUAGGACCUACAAAAACCAGCCCCAGUUUGAGGCUCUGCCGCUGAGGUCCUAUUGGCAGAGUGUCAGAGCAGCAGAUUGGCUCACAGGCCCUACUUAAGCCAGCAGCAGGAUCCUGUUUGAACAGCUGAGCUCCACCCUGCUCUGAAUUGUGCGCCAUCCCACUGCUGCCCCCACUCUCCUAGCUUGACUUCUGGCAUCUGACUUGUGGCUCCUGACCUCCAGUCUGUCUCCUGCCUCUGACACCCCUGGUAUCCUGACCCAUCCUGACUCUGGUUCCUGACUCGUGGCUCUGGUCUCCCGGGACCCUGACCCAGCUGACUCCUGACUUGUGACUGUGGACUCUGGCUCUGACCAUUAGGUCUGGCUGCCCAUGGCCCAGUCAUCACAUUUGUUUGUAACUUUUCGAGAGUGUUGCUCCACAAUGCAAUAUCAGCAAAGUCUAGGUCUCCUAGCCUUUGCCAUCUACCCAUGUAAUACCAGUGUCUGUGUUGCUAAUACACUUGUUCAUUAUUCACACUUUGGCAAUGCCAAACAGCAGAAAUGAAAUACAGCCCUGUUUC